AUUGAACGCUGGCGGCAUGCUUUACACAUGCAAGUCGAACGGUAACAGGCCUUCGGGUGCUGACGAGAGGCGAACGGGUGAGUAAUGCAUCGGAACGUGCCCAGAGGUGGGGGAUAACGCAGCGAAAGCUGUGCUAAUACCGCAUGUGAUCUGAGGAUGAAAGCGGGGGACCAGGCAGCAAUGUUUGGCCUCGCGCCUUUGGAGCGGCCGAUGUCAGAUUAGGUAGUUGGUGGGGUAAAGGCCUACCAAGCCGACGAUCUGUAGCUGGUCUGAGAGGACGACCAGCCACACUGGGACUGAGACACGGCCCAGACUCCUACGGGAGGCAGCAGUGGGGAAUUUUGGACAAUGGGCGCAAGCCUGAUCCAGCAAUGCCGCGUGCGGGAAGAAGGCCUUCGGGUUGUAAACCGCUUUUGUACGGAACGAAAAGGCUCUGGCUAAUACCUGGGGCUGAUGACGGUACCGUAAGAGUAAGCACCGGCUAACUACGUG
Molecule: ribosomal RNA, 492 nt
Filed under: uncultured bacterium
Lineage: Bacteria
Description: partial 16S ribosomal RNA
Rfam family: Bacterial small subunit ribosomal RNA
Source: RNAcentral